CCAGCUUCCUCCCGGGCUGCAAUUCCUCUGCCUAGGUGCCUCCGUCCAGCUCCGGCUUCUGGCCCGGAGGCUGCUCAUCUGCCCCUACCCCCGCUGACUUUUGGGAGGAGCAACACCUUUCAGGUCAGCAUUGCUAACCCUAAACUUUCCCCGCCGGAUGCCCGCGAGGCUGCUGCGGCGGCGGCUGCUGCUGAUGGGAGAGUCUCGAGUCCGGCUUUCAUCACAUCACCUGUCUGCGCCCCUUCCCCCUCCCCGCUCUUUUUUUCUUUUCUUUUUAUUUUGACGCAAAUAAUUUGCAUUCUGAGAAUCCCACAAUCAACGCCGAAACUCAUGCUCAAGGAUACAGGGAGCAAAGUCUGCCACAU
This 365-nucleotide long non-coding RNA is filed under the name Homo sapiens (human). RNAcentral describes it as "HSALNT0086508". The record is from RNAcentral. Lineage: Eukaryota; Metazoa; Chordata; Mammalia; Primates; Hominidae.